This 254-nucleotide ribosomal RNA is filed under the name uncultured bacterium. RNAcentral's name for it is "partial 16S ribosomal RNA". It matches the Rfam family "Bacterial small subunit ribosomal RNA", at positions 524 to 776 of the family's 1533-position model. The record is from RNAcentral.
UACAGAGGGUGCAAGCGUUGUUCGGAAUUAUUGGGCGUAAAGAGCUCGUAGGCGGCUCAGUAAGUCAGGUGUGAAAACUCCAGGCUCAACCUGGAGACGCCACUUGAUACUGCUGUGGCUAGAGUCCGGUAGGGGAGCAUGGAAUUCCUGGUGUAGCGGUGAAAUGCGCAGAUAUCAGGAGGAACACCAGUGGCGAAGGCGGUGCUCUGGGCCGGAACUGACGCUGAGGAGCGAAAGCGUGGGGAGCAAACAGG